UACAGAGGCCCCGAGCAUUAUCCGGAAUCACUGGGCGUAAAGGGUGUGUAGGCGGUCGUAUUAGUCUUUCGUGAAAGCUUCUUGGCUUAACCAAGAAAACGCGGGAGAAACGGUACGACUUAGAGGUUGCGAGAGGUAUAGGGAACUCAUGGUGUAGGGGUGAAAUCCGUUGAUAUCAUGGGGAACACCAAAAGCGAAGGCACUAUACUGGCGCAUACCUGACGCUGAAACACGAAAGCGUGGGAAUCGAACGGG
This 255-nucleotide ribosomal RNA is filed under the name uncultured bacterium. RNAcentral's name for it is "partial 16S ribosomal RNA". It matches the Rfam family "Bacterial small subunit ribosomal RNA", at positions 524 to 776 of the family's 1533-position model. The record is from RNAcentral.